UUACUUUAUAACCUGGUGGCGGUAGUAUUUCGGAAGCAUCCGAGACAACAAGUUGCUGGCAGCGUUAGUCAGUUUUAAGGCUCAAAUUCAUCAAGGAAAAGCGAAACGAAGAGAUGAAAUAUUUCAAAAUGUCCUGCGUUGUACUUUUGAUGGCGGCUUUUUGCGGCACCUCUUCAGUCGAGGGAACGAAAACUGGUAGCUGUCCUGACGUCAAAUCAGACGGUCAACAAGUAGGUGGCUGUGCAAUCAUCUGUUCGAUGGACGAAUCUUGUCCUGCUAACUUAAAAUGCUGCCGCAACGGGUGCGGUGGGACGAGCUGUACGAACCCUGUUUACUAAAAAAAAGAAGAAAAGAAGAAAAAAACGCCUAUGCUACAAUCAACACAUAAAUUAUCGGAGA
Bemisia tabaci is the source of this 399-nucleotide non-coding RNA. NCBI's taxonomy places the organism in Eukaryota, Metazoa, Arthropoda, Insecta, Hemiptera, Aleyrodidae. The record is from RefSeq and is a predicted model, not a curated record.